AAAGCAGGUUGCAAUUGCAGUACUUCAUUCUGUGGGAGUGCUGUCAUUAGUCCUGCUGAGAGUAAUGAUGCCUGCCCAAACAGAUUUGAUUUCCCCUUCACUGUAGGAGAAAUCUCAUGCUGGCAUCAACAGUG
Pelobates cultripes (western spadefoot toad) is the source of this 134-nucleotide non-coding RNA. The record is from the annotation of a GenBank genome assembly. Lineage: Eukaryota; Metazoa; Chordata; Amphibia; Anura; Pelobatidae.